This 29-nucleotide non-coding RNA is filed under the name Mus musculus (house mouse). Lineage: Eukaryota; Metazoa; Chordata; Mammalia; Rodentia; Muridae. The record is from RNAcentral.
UACCUCAGCAUACAUUUUGCACAACACAC